RNAcentral lists this ribosomal RNA (464 nucleotides) under uncultured bacterium. RNAcentral describes it as "bacterial SSU rRNA". It matches the Rfam family "Bacterial small subunit ribosomal RNA", at positions 338 to 794 of the family's 1533-position model. The record is from RNAcentral.
CCUACGGGGUGCACCAGUGGGGAAUAUUGCACAAUGGGCGCAAGCCUGAUGCAGCCAUGCCGCGUGUAUGAAGAAGGCCUUCGGGUCGUAAAGUACUUUCAGCGGGGAGGAAGGUGUUGUGGUUAAUAACCGCAGCAAUUGACGUUACCCGCAGAAGAAGCACCGGCUAACUCCGUGCCAGCAGCCGCGGUAAUACGGAGGGUGCAAGCGUUAAUCGGAAUUACUGGGCGUAAAGCGCACGCAGGCGGUCUGUCAAGUCGGAUGUGAAAUCCCCGGGCUUAACCUGGGAACUGCAUUCGAAACUGGCAGGCUAGAGUCUUGUAGAGGGGGGUAGAAUUCCAGGUGUAGCGGUGAAAUGCGUAGAGAUCUGGAGGAAUACCGGUGGCGAAGGCGGCCCCCUGGACAAAGACUGACGCUCAGGUGCGAAAGCGCGGGGAGCAAACAGGAUUAGAUACCCCAGUAGU